AAAUAACGCAAUAUUUACUAGCUAUGUUCUGUGUUAGAAAGACAGGUUUAUUACGUAUGUGUGCUUCCCAAGCCUCACGCUCUCUUAAUUCCAGGGAACGGUUUCUAAAAGGCGAAGCAGUGAACUCAAGCCAGUACGGGCCUCUGAAAGACGGCCCUGAUGUUACAAUAGUCAGUAGUAAAACUGGAGGGGUACCUGACUCAGCUCCGCUAUCUCGAAGAAAACAAGAACACGUCGAUAAAGAGUGGGCGAUUCAAGAAAAGAUAGAAGAAUAUCUGGACCUAAUGAAUGAAGUUUCACAGAUGAAUCAAAGUGAAGAUAAAGGGAAACCAGCGGAAAGUUUAUCACAAGAAUCUGAGAACAUCCCAUGACAGCGAUAUUUAGUCUGGAUUUAGCCUCGCA
Bolinopsis microptera is the source of this 402-nucleotide long non-coding RNA. RefSeq lists it as uncharacterized. The transcript has 3 exons. The record is from RefSeq and is a predicted model, not a curated record. Lineage: Eukaryota; Metazoa; Ctenophora; Tentaculata; Lobata; Bolinopsidae.